This 562-nucleotide ribosomal RNA is filed under the name Hansenula anomala. RNAcentral's name for it is "Wickerhamomyces anomalus partial large subunit ribosomal RNA". It matches the Rfam family "Eukaryotic large subunit ribosomal RNA", at positions 80 to 656 of the family's 3401-position model. Lineage: Eukaryota; Fungi; Ascomycota; Saccharomycetes; Phaffomycetales; Wickerhamomycetaceae. The record is from RNAcentral.
UCAGUACGGCGAGUGAAGCGGCAAAAGCUCAAAUUUGAAAUCUAGCACCUUCGGUGUUCGAGUUGUAAUUUGAAGAUGGUAACCUUGGGUUUGGCUCUUGUCUAUGUUCCUUGGAACAGGACGUCAUAGAGGGUGAGAAUCCCGUCUGAUGAGAUGCCCAUUCCUAUGUAAGGUGCUAUCGAAGAGUCGAGUUGUUUGGGAAUGCAGCUCUAAGUGGGUGGUAAAUUCCAUCUAAAGCUAAAUAUUGGCGAGAGACCGAUAGCGAACAAGUACAGUGAUGGAAAGAUGAAAAGAACUUUGAAAAGAGAGUGAAAAAGUACGUGAAAUUGUUGAAAGGGAAGGGCAUUAGAUCAGACUUGGUGUUUUACGAUUAUCUUCUCUUCUUGAGUUGUGCACUCGUAUUUCACUGGGCCAGCAUCGAUUCGGAUGGCAAGAUAAUGGCAGUUGAAUGUGGCUUCACUUCGGUGGAGUGUUAUAGCUUCUGCUGAUAUUGCCUGUCUGGAUCGAGGGCUGCGUCUUUUGACUAGGAUGCUGGCGUAAUGAUCUAAUGCCGCCCGUCUGA